CUCCUACGGAGGCAGCAGUGGGGAAUCUUGCACGAUGGACGAAAGUCUGAUGCAGCAACGCCGCGUGGGGGAUGAAGCUUCUCGGAGUGUAAACCCCUUUCGACCCGGAAGAAUGCCGCAAGGGUCUGACGGUACGGGUAUAAGAAGCCCCGGCUAACUACGUGCCAGCAGCCGCGGUAAUUC
Molecule: ribosomal RNA, 183 nt
Filed under: uncultured bacterium
Lineage: Bacteria
Description: partial 16S ribosomal RNA
Rfam family: Bacterial small subunit ribosomal RNA
Source: RNAcentral